Molecule: ribosomal RNA, 473 nt
Filed under: uncultured bacterium
Lineage: Bacteria
Description: bacterial SSU rRNA
Rfam family: Bacterial small subunit ribosomal RNA
Source: RNAcentral
CGGCAGGCUUAACACAUGCAAGUCGAGCGGUAGCAGAUCUAGCUUGCUAGAUGCUGACGAGCGGCGGACGGGUGUGUAACGCGUAGGAACCUGCCCAGUAGUGGGGGAUAGCCCGGGGAAACUCGGAUUAAUACCGCAUACGCUCUACGGAGGAAAGAGGGGGCUUCGGGCUCUCGCUAUUGGAUGGGCCUGCGUGAGAUUAGCCAGUUGGUGAGGUAAUGGCUCACCAAGGCGACGAUCUCUAGCUGGUCUGAGAGGAUGAUCAGCCACACUGGGACUGAGACACGGCCCAGACUCCUACGGGAGGCAGCAGUGGGGAAUAUUGCACAAUGGGCGCAAGCCUGAUGCAGCCAUGCCGCGUGUGUGAAGAAGGCUUUCGGGUUGUAAAGCACUUUCAGUGGGGAGGAAGGCCUCGUAGUUAAUAGCUGCGAGGAUUGACGUUACCCACAGAAGAAGCACCGGCUAACUCCGUG